GAUCAUGGCUCAGGAUGAACGCUAGCUACAGGCUUAACACAUGCAAGUCGAGGGGCAGCAUGUUGGUUGCUUGCAACCAAUGAUGGCGACCGGCGCACGGGUGAGUAACGCGUAUCCAACCUACCCUUGUCCAUCGGAUAACCCGUCGAAAGGCGGCCUAACACGAUAUGCGGUUCACAGUAGGCAUCUAACGUGAACGAAAUGUAAAGGAGAAGGAUGGGGAUGCGU
This 228-nucleotide ribosomal RNA is filed under the name uncultured bacterium. RNAcentral describes it as "partial 16S ribosomal RNA". It matches the Rfam family "Bacterial small subunit ribosomal RNA", at positions 15 to 236 of the family's 1533-position model. The record is from RNAcentral.